Molecule: ribosomal RNA, 256 nt
Filed under: uncultured bacterium
Lineage: Bacteria
Description: partial 16S ribosomal RNA
Rfam family: Bacterial small subunit ribosomal RNA
Source: RNAcentral
UACGAAGGGGGCUAGCGUUGCUCGGAAUCACUGGGCGUAAAGGGUGCGUAGGCGGGUCUUUAAGUCAGGGGUGAAAUCCUGGAGCUCAACUCCAGAACUGCCUUUGAUACUGAAGAUCUUGAGUUCGGGAGAGGUGAGUGGAACUGCGAGUGUAGAGGUGAAAUUCGUAGAUAUUCGCAAGAACACCAGUGGCGAAGGCGGCUCACUGGCCCGAUACUGACGCUGAGGCACGAAAGCGUGGGGAGCAAACAGGGAU